Molecule: non-coding RNA, 596 nt
Organism: Punica granatum (pomegranate)
Lineage: Eukaryota; Viridiplantae; Streptophyta; Magnoliopsida; Myrtales; Lythraceae
Source: RefSeq, a predicted model, not a curated record
GUGUGGACACCGGUAGAGGCGUCACGCGUGGGACGCUUGGUCGACAAUUUUAAAUAUUCCAGAGACUGUCCCAGGAAGCCACAUGCAAGUCUGGAGUUGAGACUGUGGACGGCCAGCGAGUCUACCACCAGGAUCCGCGAUCGAAUCUGAGGUCUGUCAGCAAGAAGAUGGCAACGCCCAAAAACCUCCUAAAACACCAUCACUGUGUCUGAGAAAAUGAUGAAAGGAGAGGUAAAGAGGGAGGGAGCCACCAAGAACGAAAACUAUCAAGAGAGAAAGUAUGGCCUCAGUUUUCGAUCUCGGUGGCGGUGGUACUGGAUGUGCUCAGUCGGAGCCGGACGCGUCGGUGAAGGUUGUUGGAUUUAGGGUUUUUGUUGGGUUGGUUGUAGAGAGGAUAAAUGAGAAGAAAAGUAAGGAUAAGAGAGGGGUAACAUAAUGUAAUGUAAAGAUUGGGAUGUAACGUAAUGUAAAGUCAUGUAAUAUAAUGCAAUGCAAAGAUUGGGUAAUGUAAUAUAAUGUAAAGUAAUGCAAAGAUUGGGAUAGAUAGAAAGGAGAGCACUCUCCAUUUUCCACAUCUUCCCUUAUCUUUCGCUUUC